This 320-nucleotide unclassified non-coding RNA is filed under the name plant metagenome. Its description in RNAcentral is "partial contains 5.8S ribosomal RNA, internal transcribed spacer 2, and large subunit ribosomal RNA". The stretch from base 1 to 105 matches the Rfam family "5.8S ribosomal RNA", at positions 50 to 154 of the family's 154-position model. The record is from RNAcentral.
GAAAUGCGAGAAGUAAUGUGAAGUGCAGAAUUCAGUGAAUCAUCGAAUCUUUGAACGCACAUUGCGCCCGCCAGUAUUCUGGCGGGCAUGCCUGUUCGAGCGUCAUUACAACCCUCAGGCCCCCGGGCCUGGCGUUGGGGAUCGGCGGAAGCCCCCUGCGGGCACAACGCCGUCCCCCAAAUACAGUGGCGGUCCCGCCGCAGCUUCCAUUGCGUAGUAGCUAACACCUCGCAACUGGAGAGCGGCGCGGCCACGCCGUAAAACACCCAACUUCUGAAUGUUGACCUCGAAUCAGGUAGGAAUACCCGCUGAACUUAAGC